This 2243-nucleotide long non-coding RNA is filed under the name Lupinus angustifolius (narrow-leaved blue lupine). Its description in RNAcentral is "long non-coding RNA (LANG_LNC001182)". The record is from RNAcentral. Lineage: Eukaryota; Viridiplantae; Streptophyta; Magnoliopsida; Fabales; Fabaceae.
CAAAAAAUUAUAUUUGAAUUUAUAAAAUACAAACUAUACAUUACAAACGAUAGGAAAGCGGGUUGACAGACACGAUAGUGCAUGUCAACAAGCUAGUGAGAAUAAAUGAAGAAUAAAUGAAGAAGGUUAAAUAUAUUAACGGUGAUGAUCGAAGAUAGAUAAGAUACCUGGAAAAGAGAACCACCACAGAAAGAAGAUGCAUAGCAGCAGAAUUACGGGAAUUACGUGAUUCCAAUUCUCCGGCGAUCGUGACCAGGAAGAGUCCCUCCUGACGGCAGCGCUCCGGCGAUGAUAAAGAGGAAGACCGUCAAGAAAAUCAUUGUCGCCAGAUUUUCUUCGCUGCUGCUCCUCGCCUGAACCGCGUGAAUUUGAACUUGCCGAUCUCAACUGCAUGUUUCACCGAAACACUGAGAAAGGAAAGAAGAAGAAAUGGAAGAAAGGGAAUGGAGGAUUCGCUUCUCGUGUCACUGGUUGGUUAGUUCGUUAUUCUCGUUAACGUACUUUUGUGCUUCUUUCACUCUUGAGAUGCAUGCUGUGUAUGUUAUCAUUGUUAUUGUUACACCAUACCAUUCAAUAAAGGUUAGUGUUUAUUUGAUUUCUUAAAUAGUUAAAAACAAUACUAACAUGCUGCAAUAUGCCAAAUAGGAAUUUUGUUAUUUAGCAGUGUUCAGCUAGCUUUAAAAAACUGGCUUAUUUUAAACAGUUACUACUUUUUCUCAUAUAUCACUUUAUAAACCUUAUUUUCUCAGAUCUUUUGGUUAUUUAUUUAGGCAUGUCAAAAAUUGGUUUUACCCGUAUCAACUUUCCAAUGUCAUUAAAUCUAUUCAAUUUUCCAAUGUCAUUAACUCUAUUCAAUUUUCCAAUGCCAUUAACUCUAUUCAAUUUUCAGAAACAAACUUCUCAAUAUAUCAAAUUUAAAAAGAGUAAAAAAUAUAUAAACUGAGAGUAUAAAAGUUUUUUACACUAUCAUUGCAUCAUCUUCCAUUCAUUUUAAAUAAAAGUAAUACAAAUGAAUAUUAGAUGAUGCACUGAAUUAUAUAUAAAUCUUUACCCCAUCAAUCCAUAGAUUUUACACUCAUUUAAAAAUCAUAAUAAAGAUAACAACCCACAAGUCAAACUAACUUCUCAACAGGUCUAAGUGAUAAAGAAAUUUUAGUACAUUUGUUUAGAGUAGAAAUACAUAAAUAUGUUUUUAUCUGAUACAACCAUGGUUCAACUACAAAUUUAACUGGUGGAACAAACCCGAGAAUCUCGCAACUUUAACUUCUAAUUUACUUUUAAACAUUGAUAUUGAUUUCCCUUACAAUUUACAACACAUUUAGAAGUCUCAGGACUAUAGAACUGUCUGAAUUCUUUUAGUACCAAGCAGCAGAGGCCUUUCAAAUUGGAAUUAAGGCCUAGUGUGCUAGUUUGAAGGUAAAGGUGAGAACCAUUAACUAACAUGAACCUGAAGUACAAAGGUCGAAGUAUUGUCUCCAAAAUUCAAGCGAGACUAACACUAGUUUAAUUGUCAUGAAAAAAGAAGCAUAUAAAAUAUUUCAAAUGAAUCCAGUGAAAGACAAAUAAUGAGAACAAUACCACUAUCAUAUAUAACUACCAAAAACCACUUAUGUUGUGGCUUAUCUUCAGUAACUUCUGUAUUACUAUUUAUACAUUAGGAAGCCUUAGUCAAGGGCUUGAAAGGCAUAUGAUCCUCCUUCAUGUAUAACAGUCAACAAUAAUCUGGGGGUACUAUAAUCCCGCCAAAGAAAAGAAGAAGAAAAAACAUUGCCCUCUCAGGACAAUAAAUAGGACUGGGAGAACCUAUCUCCCUGAUUGCACAUUUCACUGCAUAUUACAAAAUCACAUGCACCACUUUCUCUUCCAACUCCAAAUCUCUAAUAAACUUUUUUUAUAACAUGUUUAUAGAGCCAAAACAACAAAGCUGUAUUAUGAAAUUCUAUAGAAACAAUAGAUGAAAGAAAAUGAUCAUUUGCCCAAGGCUACUCCAGCCUCUGAUCCUGGCUGAAGUUCAGAGACUCCCUCCAUAUAAGCUCUUUUAUAUCUUCUUCAUUCAGGGUUGCUUGUUCAAAAUCAAAGAUGAAAGGAGUUGGACAAGUAGGCUCCUCAUUGAUCUCAUGAAGACUUGAUAAGUAUGGGUGAUUCAGUGCUUCCUCGACUACGCAAUCAUAGAAUAAAAGUGAAGCUUACAAGGAAUAAGUAACAAUGGUACAAAUGCUAAACAAAAUACAGAGACAUACCAG